AUGCGCGACCUCACCUACGACAUGGAGGAGUGCCUCGACCGCUUCAUGCAACGUAUCGGCGACGGCGAUGCCAACCGCAGCUUCCCCAAGAAGGCCGCGCGCCGGCUCAAGACGCCGUUCACGCGCCAUGGCAUUGGUACCCAGAUCAAGAAGCUCCAGGCCCGCGUCGCUGAGGAGGGCGAGCGGCGGCAGAUGCUGAACCUCGAUAACUACACCCCAAGGACGACCGUGGCGAUAGAUCCCCGGCUCGCUGCCUUCCACGGGGUGGCCAAGGGAUUGGUGGCCAUUGACGGCCGCAAAGAUGAGGUUGUUUCUUUGCUGAAACAGGAGAGUGUGGAGCUGAAGGUGGUGGCUAUUGUCGGAGGUGGGGGAUUGGGGAAGACCACACUUGCCAUGGAAACCUAUCGCAAGAUUGGAGAGCACUUCGAGUGGCGAGCUUCUGUGUCGGUGUCGCGCACCCCUGAUCUGGAGAUGCUCUUGAAAUAUGUUCUGUCUCAAAUCGAUGGAGAUGCCCAAUCAGAGAGGUGGAAGAAAGACCAACUAAUUCGUCGGAUCCAAAGUAUCUUGAGAGGAAAGAGCUCUAUCAAAUGCCACCUCUGA
This 600-nucleotide ribosomal RNA is filed under the name Triticum aestivum (bread wheat). Its description in RNAcentral is "partial small subunit ribosomal RNA". Lineage: Eukaryota; Viridiplantae; Streptophyta; Magnoliopsida; Poales; Poaceae. The record is from RNAcentral.